This 52-nucleotide transfer RNA is filed under the name Pseudobiotus sp. SHR-2005. Its description in RNAcentral is "tRNA-Val". Lineage: Eukaryota; Metazoa; Tardigrada; Eutardigrada; Parachela; Doryphoribiidae. The record is from RNAcentral. RNAcentral also lists the same sequence under 1 other name.
UAGGGGGAUUAAAUUCUCUUACAAUGAAUUUUAGCUUGCUUAGCCCCCCUAA